ACGGGUGUAGCUCAGCUGGUAGAGCAGUGGUCUCCAAAACCAAAGGUCGAGAGUUCGAAUCUUUCCACCCGUGCUA
This 76-nucleotide transfer RNA is filed under the name Bacteroidota bacterium. Its description in RNAcentral is "Bacteroidetes bacterium tRNA-Trp". It matches the Rfam family "tRNA". Rfam says of the family: Transfer RNA (tRNA) molecules are approximately 80 nucleotides in length. Their secondary structure includes four short double-helical elements and three loops (D, anti-codon, and T loops). Lineage: Bacteria; Pseudomonadati; Bacteroidota. The record is from RNAcentral.